GACACUGUCUGCAAAACCUCUAAGAAAACAUGACCAUAACAUAUAAGUUGGGACAGGGUCCCUAACAUCCUUAUAAAACAAAGUAACAUAUAUAGAACGUGACUUGACAAUACUCUAGGAAGAUGUGGAGCUCACCAACCAAAAGCUGAUAUCUGGAGGCAGCCUACAAUGGAUGAUCCUCACCUUGCCUAUCUACACCUGCGUGGCAUGAAGCACAGUGCCCCAGAAAAAAAAAGGCGUUAGUACGAAGAAUGUACCGAGUAUGUAAGGCAGCAAUGAAAUGUAAUAAUAAUAAGAUAUUAUCUCGGGGGAGAGAUAAGAGUCAACUUAUAACUUCUGACUUGUCGCUGAGGGCCGUAACAUAUAGAAUAAAAUCCAUAUCGUAUAUAUAAAUAAAGUUACAAUACAAUAGUUCUAGUUACCUCAUUUUUGUAACGUUAACUGCCCAACUGAUCAGUGGUAACUGCCCGAUUGACCGUAGCUCGGUGGUAAAUGCAUAACUGCCCAAGCGAUGAUAAAUAAAUAAUAAUACAUAACUAUCCAACCGGUGGUAACUGCCCGACCAGCCGUAGCUCGGUGGUAGAUGUAUAACUGCCCAAUCGGUCGUAGCUCGGUGGUAAAUAUUACAACGUCACCACUAGUUACAUAUAUAAAUACAAUAUCUGAAGAGCCUUUUAGGAUAAUUAGAAUAUCUUUCAAAGUGACUUAUAGUCGUUUACUCCCGACAUGUACCACUAAUUAUGAAAAAUAGUAAAUACCCGAUAGAAUAAUCGCAAGUUGACCCUAACACCACCAUUUUAAAAAACAAUAUGGCAGCAUUGUUGCAUCAUUUGGCAUGCAACAUUUGGUGUAGGUUUCUAUUUGGACAUAAAUAUAUUCCUCAAUUGAAAACUAACUAUCAGAUUAUUUAUUUUGAUUACUUGUUAAGGAAAGAACACCGUAUUUGGAAAUAGAAGUUAUCCGAUCCUUAAAACAAAAAUUAAGAAACCAACAUUCUUGCAUCUAUAAUAACAACUAAUGGAUUAAGAAUAUCAUAGAAGUUAGCACUAUAUAUAUAUAUAUGAACUAACAUCAUCCACAUGCGGUCAAUAAGAAUCAAGCAUCAGUGCCAUGAGUAAGAGUUUACAUUAUAAAAGACAAUGAACAAAAGCUUUCUGUAUUUACUAGGAAUAAUAUCAUGUUUUAGUAUUGAGUUUGUUUACACGCCAUAGUUGGAGUCAUGCCAAAAGGAAAAAGGAUAGAUUUAACAUACCUGGAGUAGGAAAAACUCCGUAUAAUACUUUUGGAGAAGAUUUCACCGUACUUCUAUAUAACCGCAAAAAUUGGAUGGACUUUUAGCUUCUGUCCUUGUAGUAUUGAACUAGGAAAGACAUAUGUUUCUUGAUUUUGAAUUAAGAACAAAAUAUGGACUUUAACUUCUGGUCUUAGAAGCAACUGGAACUUGGAAAAUGAUAUUGCAUUAGGAACAUUUUUCCUUCUUUUGUCCAAAUGAAAGAAUGAGAUAACACUUAUCAUAAGUCUUUACUUAUUAAUUCCAAAUAAAUCCUAGAUAGACACCUAAGACUAUAUGACUACUUAGUCAUUCUCUAGAUUUGUGGCUUUUUGCCAAGUUUUUGGGGGUGUAUUUUAUUAAUUUUUAUCCAUUUAUUAGUUAACUGGGUAAUGUCCCGUUACCCGGUAAUUAACCAAUUACUCGCAUAAUUUAAAAAUUACUUCAAAUUACUUAAAAUUAUACUUAUUUUUAAUAUACUUUAUACAUCAUACUAUCACGUCCAUAUGGUACCUUGUAUGAUACUAGUCCAUAAUUAUCGGGUAUUAUCGCUCGACCCGUAUUUUAUCCCAAAUUGGCCACUUUCAACGAAACUCGUUUUCUUUAAUUUGUGUACCCUUUAUCCUUCUUGACACUUACUUAUUGCUUGUUAUAAUUAGCAUAAAUACGUUAACCUCAAGAUAAUCUCAUCCCCGAGUCUACGUCAAUUAACGGAAGACGAAACUUUAACGUACGAAAAUGCGAGAUGUAACAUCCUUCCCCCUAGAAAUAUUCGUCCUCGAAUGUUUAAACUUGCAAGAUGUACAUACAUAUCCAUCUAUUAUAAAUGUAUAUAUCUUCCCGGGCUAAACUCCAAUGAAACAAAUAGCAAGCUCUCACGGGGUCAGGACGUCGUCCCUCCCUAAAACUACUUCCUAAUCAAUUCGUCACCUAUGAUUCUGUUAAUAUAUCUUCUAGGUGCUGUCACCUAUUAGUUGUAAUCUUAAUAACUGGGUUCAUGCUUUCCUUUCAAAGCUAGCCUUGGUUUCCCUUAACCCUUCUGGCGCAAUGCCAACUUACUCUUACAUUAAUCAUAUUAAAUGGACAAUUUGCGUUAAUAAGAUCGAACAUUACCAAUAAUCACAAUACCUGACACAUCAUCCGGUGUAGCCUCUGGGUCCUGACAACCUGCCAAAGCAUAUAUGCGGUUCUGACUACCGUCAGAGCUAGAUGCUCCAUCCCUGACUCUACCUCUACCAGUUGAUGCCCGAUGGCCUCUCUCUUGAGAAGAGGAGGAUACUGUAUAGAUCUGGUGGGCUGAACCAUCCCGCUUAUGUUAUUCAUAGCGCAAUCCCCCAUGUAAUGACUAGGGUCUCCACAUGUAUAACAUAUAUUAGAUCCCUGACGACAUUGUCCAGAAUGAGCUCUACUGCAUUGACUGCACCGUGGAGGAGGCGCCCUCAUCUACGCUGAAUCCCUCCGAUUCUAAAAACCCAAAAUUCUCGAGCCCUGACCUGAUUCAGAAUAGACAGAUCCCUCAUAAUACGACUUCUGCAGUUGUCAGAUACUUUCAAUAGGAUAUGGUGACAUAGGAUCGCCCGAAAAAUCCUCAGGUCGCCUAGCAGACCUGGCCUUCUUACGCUGACCCUCAUCACGAUUCUCGUAUUGUUGUCAUUAUCAGUCCUCCAAAUUUUGAGCAUAAGCCUGGAUGCCAGAAAUAUCCAUACCAUCGAGCAGAGCGGCUGUGGAGCAUUCAUUAAUCAGGUGCGGCCCAAGUCCUAUGACAAACCGAUACACUUGAUCACUCAUUUCAGCCACAAUCUAGGGGGCAUACCUUGCCAAGGAAUCAAACUGGAGACUAUACUCUUGCACACUCAUAUUCCCCUAUUUAAGAGACAAGAACCUGUCUACCCUUGCUUGAUGAAUCUCUAUUGGCAAGUAAUGACACAAGAAAUCCCCUGAGAACUCUUCCCAUAGUGCUGGAGAUGCAUUUGUCCCUCUAGACAAUUCCCAAGUUUCUUACCACUGAACCACAACAUCUCGCAAUAGGUAUGAGGCCAACUCUACUAACUCAGUGUCCGAUGCAUGCAUUACCCUCAAAGUCCUCUGCAUCCUAUCAAUAAAGUUUUGCGGGUCCUCAUCCUUAUUGGAUCCAGUAAACUCUGGAGGGUCCAGGUUGAUAAAGACUCAAACUCUCGCGCUAAUAACCCUGUUAACGUGACCAACAUUUGUACCUACCUAGUGCUGAGCCUGAGUGGCUACCAACCUAGUCAACAACUGUACUGCACUCCGCAUAUCCAUAUCCUCAUCCAGAACAAUAGGUGGAGGUACUGGGUUCCUCAUCAUCUCCUCGGGUGUUGACAAAAUCGGAGAACUAUGCGAGGGUGUCAUAUUUCCCCUCAGGGCCUCACUUUGGACCUCACUAGACAUUGGUACUCUACUCAUGCCCUCAUAUGCCACUACUUUACCCUUUUGACUAGCCGUAGCGUUCCAAGUCAUAGACAUUGCUGCAUAUAUAAAACAAGUCAAAGAUCAAGGGCUUUGUUCCCUAUAACUUUGCUCUAUUACACGAUCUAAUAUCAAGAAGAAAGGGUAGCCGGUCCCUAAAUGCCCUGUAGUUUCUUGCUUAUAUAACGUGGUGGACAACACAUUUAUAAACAAGACUUUACUAGACACGGCUUGCAGACAACCCUAGGACAGAACUACUCUGAUACCACUUUAUCAUGACCCAUAUCAGAGGGCCAUGACUGGCACCUGGUGCCUAUUCAACCGAGUGCCACGUGUCACACCUCCUUUUUACUACUCCGGAAGGGUAUAAGGGAGUUUUUCCAAUUUAAGUGACAAUCAAAAUGGGAUUAUUUAUAUUAAUCAGAGUCUCCACUUGGGAUAAUUAUGGUGUCCCAAGUCACCGGUUUAAAAUCCCGAAUCGAGGAAUUUUGACUCAUUUUUACAGUCCACAAAACACAGAAAUCCGGCUAAGGACUUCUGUUAAUUCAGGAGAAGGUGUUAGGCAUUCCCGAGUUCCGUGGUUUUAGCACGGUCGCUUUAAUCAUACUUGGCUUAAUUAAAUUGUCUAAUUACAUGUUUAAGAACAUAUGUACAUUUUUACCUUUUACCACUUUUAAUUAAGAAUUUAUCCUAAAGCAAGUCACACGUACGUGUACUCAUUCCAUUUUGCAUAUAAAAAAUCAUGUCACACGUACGUGUCCACAAUUAAUAAUGCUUUAUUAUUAUUAAGCAAUUUUGGUCAAAGUUGUGCGAACACAUACUCCGGGUUUGUUUUUAGAUAGAUUAAGUCUCACCUAAAACAUUUUCUACGAAUAUUCAUUUUUUUUAAAAACGUACUCGUGUUACGCGAAUGUGUACACAACUAAUAACAUUUUAUUAUUAUUAAGAUUAUUUGACCAAAGUCACGCGAACGUGUACCUUGAUUUUGGUCAUGUAACUUGUCAUGUAUCAAUCACAAAGGAAUGAAACCAAACAUAUAACCGCAAAGCCUUAAAUAUGUCAUACAAAUUCAAAGCUACUAGUAGAAAGAAAUGAACCAUAUAUGUUCCUAUGCAUAGAUUUAAUAAUUUAUACUUCAAGUGGCAAAGCCAAGAAACAGGGUUGGAGAUCACAAAAUGCAAACAGUUAAUUAGAUUCAUAAAAUGUUUAUGACCUUUUUAAAAAGUUUAUCUAUUUUUAUGUAUUUUAAUUAGACUCAACAAAUUAGUCUUGGGUUUUUAAAAGAAAAUAACACUGUAGGCUGUAGCAAUCCUCUUGAUUAAGACAGUGUUAGAACACGCACAACACUCUUUUAUUCGAAUAGUGAAAGGAAGAACAGAGAACAAAGCUCAUAGUUACUAGUAAACACAUGUUUCAAAUGCAUUGCAUCAAUUAAUAUCAACUCAUGAAAUCUAGCAAUUCCAAUUAUGUAACUCAAAUGUUAAUGUAGAGAUCUGGUGUGUACCUAGUAUUCAAAAGCCAACUUGAGAAGCCACAUAAAGGCUAAGAGAAACAACCAUGAAUUUGAUGUCACCGUUGAUAAGCAACCACAACAGUAAUUUUUGCUUUUGAAGAAACUUUCGAUUAACGAAAAAGUACAGCAGCUACAAUAGAUGGAAAGCGCAGCUAUGAGUGAAACUCGAAUAGCGACCGAACUCGAAUGACAACAGUAAAGAACUAGAUCCACGUUUUCAUUCCCAAAAUCCCAGUAAAGGAGAUCGAACCCAAACCAAAAUAGAGAACCAUAACUAAAGCUAACGAAUGGAAAGUCUGACGAACUCGAACUCGAUGGCAAUCGAACCCAACUUCAGCGACUCGAACCACGACCAAAUAGCUGCUCGUACUUGAAUAGUUUGAGAGCUAUUUACGAGGUGUGGCUGCUGCUGUAUGCGUUUGAGCAGAAAUGAAAAAGGGGGUCAGUAUCCACUGGCUUCUGUCCAGUGGUCGUUUUUGGUGUUCGAUUUUCUGAAGAAGAAGGGGUAACGGUUAUGGGGGCUAUUUUUUGGAGUUGCCGCUGGUUGGGGUGUGGUGGCAACGGACUGGUUGUUGAAGAAAUGUGGGGUGAGAUGAAGAAGAAGAUGUCCAGGGGGUUCUCGAUAGGGGUCCCUUAACGCUGAAGAAGAUGAAGAACGGGGGGGGGGAUCUCUUAUGUGUUAAACGACGGAUGUUCAGGGUCUUAGGUUGAAGAUGGGUCGUUUGGGGUGGAGUGAAGAAGAUGAAUUUCAGGCUGGGGGGGGGGGGGGGUCCUCUGUUCUCUAUUGCUUCUUCAGAUUUUUUUUUU
RNAcentral lists this long non-coding RNA (6017 nucleotides) under Nicotiana tabacum (common tobacco). Its description in RNAcentral is "long non-coding RNA (NTAB_LNC009077)". Lineage: Eukaryota; Viridiplantae; Streptophyta; Magnoliopsida; Solanales; Solanaceae. The record is from RNAcentral.